UCACGGUACAGACCCUGAAAGGAACGCACGGAUUCCCAGCUUUUAUUAAAUAGGUAACAGCAGCUCCAGUGCUGUCUUUGUAACGUCCUAGAAUUGGAGGAGAAAACAGCAAAAUCAUCAGAAUCAUAAAACCUGUGUUGCCAUAAAAUAAACGUCUGUCCGUGUUUGAUCAUCGUAAGACCCAGGCUCUAUUCUUCCUCUAGGGCCUGGGUGUCAAAGGUGUUUUCCUUCGUGUAACAGGGGCCGGUCUUGUCUCCCGGCUGACCUUGGUCCGCUUCAGCCAUGGACCCAAUGUGAUGGUUGUUCUGAUCCGUUCCUGUCGUGAAAGGAAAGCGUGUCCGAAGGACUUCAAGUAACUGCCCAGAGCGUGCUGGCAGGAGGAAGCACCCAGCCCCUUGGGCCAGGACUUCUGGGGCCUUCUGCCCGCCACCCUGUCGCGGCUCACCUGUUGGUCCUGGGUCUCCUCUUUAGCCAAAUCCCCGCUGUUUGUUUAGAGCCCGGCGGGCAGGUGCCCAGCCCAGGCCAGAGCCGCUGCGGGAUCAGGCUGCUGACUCCGUUUCUAACUCCUGGUUUCUGCUCCAGACUCACCCCUGGGUGACGCAGCUUUGUGUUCUGUUCAUUUCUCUCGCCAGGAAAAGCGUUCGGCUUUUGCCUUCUGGACCAGGGGGAGACCACCCCUGUUUCACCUCCUGAGUGUCACCUGUUCAGAUGCAGCCCAGAGAACCUGGCGUGGGCUCAGGGCGGGGAGGCUCCGGCUGGGCCUCUGCAGCCGGAUCCCAGGCCGGAGCAGCUCUUUGGAGUACGGCUGGGACAUUUUUAAAGCUGCUGACCGAUGGGGAGCUGCUCUUCAGAGAGGGCAGAACAACAGAGUCACGGUCUUGGAGUGGGGGUGAGGAUUCCGUUUUUCAAGUUCUCAGUGACCUGGGACGUGAAGAUGUAAGCCAGCCUGCACACCUCUGCACACCGAGAUUAAACAAACACCUACCCAGCCCCUGAUUCUGCCUGCCAGGAACCCUAACGGUGACACUUUCAAGAAAAGAGACCCCUUCUUCCCAGCUGGGGUUCUGAGCGGUCUCCACCAAAGGAAACAUUGAACAGUCUCAGAUUUCAGGGGGUGGGAGAUCACUGAAAUCUGGGAACGACACUGAAGCUUCUGACUUCACCUGCAAAAUCUAACAGGUUGGAUUAGUAAAAUUUUUUUUUUUAAACAAAGAAGCUAAAGCAUAGAGAAAAUACAAAGAAGCAUCACAAAAGGCAUAUGGUUAUUUUACUUUUAUAAGUGAGUUUAGCUGUGCUCCUGUCUGGGAUUUACUGAAAUGGCCUCUGAACCUCUGAGUCACACAUCCCCUUGUAAACACGAGGCCGAUAUGGGUGCACUUUUGGUGGGACAGGUGUUUUCUUCUCAGAAGCCCGUGUCCAGAUGUUGGUCUAGCGAGGCCGGACUGCCCACGGGGAGCAGGCCAGGCCACGCACUGGUGGGCAGUGGCCCUUGAGAGCAGAAUCCUUUCCCAUGGGGGGGUGUUCUUCCUGAGUGUUAGCCUCGUGUGUGGGAAGCAGGGGUGGCCGGUGACCCCAGCCCAGGAAAUAACUAGUGAGCAGGGAUUGUUACGUUUUCCUUUUAGGAAGGCAGCCGUCCCGUGAGUGGCCUCAGUCCCCUGCGCCCUAAGGCUGCUGCUGGUACUGGCCCUCCGUGGCCGUGUAGAAGUCGUCCAGGACGCUCUGCAGGUAGUCGAACGUGGGCCUCUCCUCGGCCUUUUCUUUCCAGCACAUUUUCAUGAUGUCGUAGAGCUCGUCCGGGCAGUUCUCCAUGCGGGGCAUCCUGUAGCCCUGCGACAGGGCGGUCAUCACGUCGGCGUUAGUUCUCCCUGAGGCCGAGAAACCACAGGUACCAUUUAGAAGCCUGACCCAGGCUCACGCACUGCAGGGGUGCCCACCUCCUGCAUCAGUGGUUGAAGGAAAGCUUCGGAGGCUGCCAUGGGCUGAACUGUGUUCCCGCCGUGCCCUCCCCUGCAAACUCCUAUGCUGCACUCCUAGCCCCCAGGACCUCAGAAUGUGACCAUUUAGAGACAAGGCCUUUAAAGGGGUGACCAAGUCAAAAUGAACCCUUUAGGGUGGUCCCUAACUGCCUCUGACCGGUGUCCUUAUAAGAAGAGGAGAUUAGGAAAGGCCCGGGGAGACACAUGGAGAAGACAGCUGUCUCAAGCCAAGGACGAGCCUCGAGAGAAAGCAAGCCUGCCGACACCUUGAUCUUGGACUUGCGGCCUCCAGAACCAGGAGAAAAUAAGUUUCUGUUGUUUGAGCCACUCGGUUUGUGGUAUUUUGUGCUGGCAGCUCUGAAAACUGGUACAGAGGCUAAGGAAAUUUCUGUAAGUGAUGAAAUAAAUGUUAGUACGAAGGAGAUCAAGGCAGCAUUCAGUUGCCAAAGUGAAAACAGGCAAACGUGGUAAAUGGAAGACGAAGUGAGUUCUAAUGACAAAAGGACACUGGACUUGACAGACCUUGUGAAUGAACAAGCCCAAUCCUAACACUUAAUCUCACUUUCUUUUGUAGUAUUUUUUUUCCAGCUUCUACCUGUAAUACCAAAAAAAAAUCAUUUUCCCGUAUAGUAUCUCAUACCAAUACUUUUUCAAAAUUAGCUUUUCAUCCUAAGUGUACUUAAAGAAGUCAGGAUCCUUAAGUCAGCCGGACCAAUUGCUUAAUUCCCACUCCUCAGAUGGUCCCGGCCUUCAGUACAGGAAGACGCAGAGUCCGCCAGGCUGCGGGAAAGAGCACAUCUCAACAGCCGGCGAGGGAACUAGGCCGCCUGCAUUCCUACGGGGCUCUGCAAGAGAGCUGACCGUGGAGGACGGCUUUUACUAUGGUCACAUGUCUCAGGGUAGUUCAGAUGCUGAACUGUCCAUCUUUGAUACUGAGAAUAGCUUUAAGGAAAAAAAGGUCAUUUUACUAACAUUUUCCUCCAGUGCUAAAAUGGGGUAUCGACCCACGCCCACCUAGCAGUUUUAGCAGGACUUACCCAUGUCUGGGUGUUUUGCCUAUUUUGUGGCUGCCUUAUUCUGUAGGGACAUGAGCUCCUCUAGUGAGGGGCUGCAUCUCAUGUGGAAUGUUUUCAUGCGUAGAAGACAUAUAAUAUCUGGCACACGGGGAACUCCAUUCAUCCCAAGCAUUUCCUUUCCAUAGUUAUCUCCUUUCCAUAGCCAGAGGUUUUACCACUAGUGGCCACGGGAAAGAUCCUAAAAGAUAACUAGACACUUUAGGGGAAACGUCUUUGACUUGAUUGGAAACAGAACCUUCUUUUGAAUUUAUUCUCAAAUCCGUGUUUUUCAAAUUGUGGGUCACCACCCAUUUGGGAUCAAUAAAUUGAUUUUUGGGGAGCUACCAGUAUUUUAAAAUAUAAAUUACCAAUAUAACAGAGUAAAAUAGAAAAGAUCAGAGUGCGCUGUACAUGGCAAAAGUUAGUGUGGUUUUGUGAAACUUUCGUUUUAUAUAUGGAGCGGGUUUCUGUCUAUUUCUUACCGUGGGUCAUAAUCAGUGACCUCUGCACUCCUUUGCCCUUAACUAACCUUUCUUCUUCUAAGGACACAGUGACUGAAGGGCCCUGCCUGGAUUUAAACCCCUGAAAAAAGACACGAUUAUUUCUGUCUUGGAAGAGCCCUUGUUUUUGAAAUGGAAAGAUCCAAGCCAACCUUAUAACUGUUAAGAUCUCUUGAAAGUUGUUUGCAUGGUGAAUUAAUUUUGCUCAAGUCUGCUUCUGAAACAUCAUCUUCAAAUAUUUGUGUAACGGGAAUAUUCUAACUGGAACACUUCACUUGCUUCUCAUUGCUUGAAGCCAAGGGGCUGAUUUGCAUCGCUUUCUUUAAUUGGGGUUCUGGUCUCCAUAAAUUAUGUGGCUUCAGCAUUGCUCUGGCUUCUGUAACUAGCCAAGCUCACUUGGAUAAAUUUCUGAAGAAAUAUCCGUGUUUACUUCUACAUGGGCGUUGGGGAAAGUCCUGGGGUCCUGGCAGGAGGAUUAAUAUCCAGGAUAAAGGAAAUAGCAGCUGGACCUGCAACGCUGGGUAGGAAUAUCUCCUUCACCUCCUUCCUAGAGAAGCCCCAGUUGCAUAAAAGGUCAGAACGUGCCCACAGAAGAUAAAUAAACCUUUCUAGGGCCCACGCUGCUGCACUGUAGAUUUUUUUCUUCCUUGUUCUUAUAUGUUCUCCUAACUCCGAAGAACUCUCUCAAUGAUGCAGACAAAGGCCAGGCACGCUCCAGCCUGCCUGGGGAAUUUGACUUGAUAAGAGGAAUAAAAAGAAGGAAAUCUGAAGUCUGUCUUUUUACGUACAAGUAAAUCUACCAACAAAAUACGGCUAUCAACUGACAAGUCUGAUGGAAGAAAGAAAGAGAGGAGAGAGACCUUGACCGAACCCUAAGAUUAAACCCGGUGCUGGUCUGUUGCUAGGUUGAAGAAAGCAAACACCCAUUGGCUGGUGAUCUUUAAAGAAAACCCACAACAGCAAAGAAAGACACUGAUGUCCGCUCCCCAGGGCACCUCCGGAAUGCUGAUGGCCGGGCGGUACUCCCAGCGGCAGGGCCUGGAAGAUCCUCUUCAGAAGGAACUAAAUAGUCCCAGAGGACAGACCUGAAGAUACUGCCGGGGGAAGAUGCUGACAGCGAGCCUGGUGGUCCAGAGGCCCUGGUUCCCACACGUCGUCUCACUGAAGCAAGGGGAGCAGGUAAGCCUCAGAGGACAGGACGACAGGGACAGAAGCGUAGACGGGGGGCUCUGAGGGCCACCCCAGGACGUCUACUGUCCUACCAGCAAGGGAUUUGGAAAGAGGCGAGGAGCGAAUUUUCAAAGAAGCAAUAUAGGAAAACUUCCCCAAAUCUAUGGCUACAAGUUUCCAAAUCAAAAGAACAAAACAGGUACCCAGCGUAACAUAAAAAUGACAGAAGUGUCACACCAAGUGUACAUGGCCAUAAAUCUCAGGGACAAAGAAGGAUCUUGAAUUCUUCCAUAGAGGAAGCGGGAUCCUAGGGAGAAGAUAGGUACAGAAGCCAUCAGCCUUCAGGCCAGCCACUCGAGAAGCUGAAGUCAGUGGAAGAAGCUGCUUAAAAUUCUAGGCGAGAACGUUUGGUGGAGUAGCGUUCAUAACGUAAACGAAUUUGGUAAUUGUACUUAUUUAGCUAUUUAAGUAUAUUUCGGACACGAGUCUCUCAAAAAGAAGUCCUAUUUGGAGUUGAGUCUAUCUUCUAGGUAUGAACUAGAAGAAUAUUAACUUUGAUGCCUCCAAUUUUCACGAGACAAUCUAGGGGCUACACAUUUAAAUUCAUAACUAGGGGCUACACAUUUAAAAACAUAACAAUAAAAUAUGGUUGAAAUGGACUAACAGUAAAUGAAGACAAAGGAGUUUUGAGAUUUGCCCCAAAUACAACGAAUAGGUGCAAAGCCCUUUCCUAAAAAGCAGGUUGCGGAAGAGCCCUUUUCUGCAUCACAUCCUAUGUGCACAGAAGUUCGUGGUGUCAGCUGUGGCAGCUCAAGGCGUCUAUUCAACGAGUAGGACUGCAAAUGCGAAAUGACACUCUCAUGCUCCACUAGCACUUGCUAGUAUUUGACGACUAGAAUUUUGAUAAGUUUAUUAACAACAUUGUACAUUUUACUCUCCUAUUCCCAGAGUUUGUUUUAUCGGUGCUAUCCGUUUUGGCAUCCAGUCACUCUGUGUAUUUGGUACAGCCCUAGUUAUAUAUGCCUUGAUAUUCCUGGGAUGCCUCUGACGGAUGCAACAGAAAUUGAGAACAGUGGCCGCCUUGGGGGCAGGGGUUGUGUGGCUGCAGACAGACGCACCUGUCACCUUGCACCUCUUUGUACCUCUUGGACUUAGAACAAUGUGACCAUAUUCUUAUUUGAUAAUAACUAAAAUGGAGGAAAAUCUUUACUUAGGAAAUAACAGUCUGAGUAUAAUAUUUAGAACUAUGAACAGCAAAUAUUAGGAUAAAUAACCAAGAUUCCUGAAAGCCAAUGCCUUUGAGGAGCCAGCAAGAGUGAGACCCCGGAGGCAAGUUUUCAGCAGAAGCCUUUUGCACUACCUGAUUUUUAAAAUAUAUUUUUUAGACAAGAAGUAAAAUAUUUAAUAAAAACAUACUUGUAAAAAGUUAGCCACUUCAGGAAUUUAUUAAGAAAAAAAUAAUGUAACCUGUUAUUUCAUUGCUCAAGGAUAGUAACAUUUUGAUAUAUUACACCUUUUAGUCUUUUUUUUUCCCCUCUGUUCAUUUUAUAGGAGACUUUCUUAUUUCUUUUCUGUUUUUAUUCCCCUUUUCUUUCUCUUAGUGCCUUUUCAUUUUGCAAAGCUAGGCAUAUAGCUUCUAAACCACACAAAAAAGAGACAUAUCCUGGCACCCUCAGAUAGUUUUUGAAUGAGGGAAUGACUUAAACAUUAAAGAUUUAAUUUUAAAUUGGCCGUAUCCAUUAAUUUUGUUAAAAGCCAAACAUUAACAAGAAUGUGACAGCUUGGGGAAAAAAUCCCUCUUCUUGCACAUUCCAGCAUGGAACCUGGAAAAAGGGAGAGCCGGAAGAAUCUGGCUCCGAGGAGGUUAGGAAUCUGGAAAUACUGAACGAUGUCCCCACGUCCAAUAAGUCAAAGAUCUGAAGAAUCUUUCACUCACACACAGAGGUGCUUAUUUCCUGAAGAGGCAGAGACUCCAAAGUACCUUGUAUGAACUUCUGUUUCAAAACUGACCGAGAAAGAAUUGUAAAACCCUCAUCCCCAUGUCCGUAACCUCCUCCAUCAGGUGGACUGCUUGGGAGGGGCACCUGUGUCUAAUCCUCUAACCCAUCCUUAUCAGCAACACCUGUGAUGGUGGCAGGCACAUUCUAGGCAGCAAGUGGUGGAAUUAAUUAGCGAAGCAAAAGAAUAUGCACUCAAUCAGGCAAGAAGGCAGAGAAGUUUCUAAGCAUAUUUUAGGACACCUUCCAGUAACGACAGUCAAAAUAAAGUUCUAGCACCAUAAGCUUACUUUACUUUUGGAUAUAAGUUUAUCUUUUUAUGACUUGUGCCACUUGGCUUUUUUCUCAUAUAUACCAAGUGAAUGGAAAUAGGUAAGUAACUGAUACCUGGGU
Long non-coding RNA from Balaenoptera acutorostrata (minke whale), 7091 nucleotides. RefSeq lists it as uncharacterized. The record is from RefSeq and is a predicted model, not a curated record. The transcript is spliced from 5 exons. Lineage: Eukaryota; Metazoa; Chordata; Mammalia; Artiodactyla; Balaenopteridae.